UAACCCUGCGUACAACUGCUCUUAAACCGAGACCUAUAGGCAGUCUAAUACUUCGUCUCUCAUAUCCAUCAGUGAAGGGAUUGAUGGAAAUAUAAGUUUCG
The submitters of this non-coding RNA (101 nucleotides) gave its source as unclassified sequences. The record is from Rfam.